CGUCCCUGCCCUUUGUACACACCGCCCGUCGCUGCCCGGGACUGAGCCAUUUCGAGAAAUUUGGGGACCGUUAAUUAAACAUUUAUUUGUUUUUUUGAUGGAAACCAAUUUAAUCGCAGUGGCUUGAACCGGGCAAAAGUCGUAACAAGGUAGCUGUAGGUGAACCUGCUGCUGGAUCAUUA
Molecule: ribosomal RNA, 182 nt
Filed under: Meloidogyne naasi
Lineage: Eukaryota; Metazoa; Nematoda; Chromadorea; Rhabditida; Meloidogynidae
Description: partial 18S ribosomal RNA
Rfam family: Eukaryotic small subunit ribosomal RNA
Source: RNAcentral